UACAGAGGGUGCAAGCGUUGUUCGGAAUUAUUGGGCGUAAAGCGCGUGUAGGCGGCUUUGCAAGUCGGGUGUGAAAGCCCUCAGCUCAACUGAAGAAGUGCGCCCGAAACUGCAGAGCUUGAGUGCCGGAGAGGGUGGCGGAAUUCCCCAAGUAGAGGUGAAAUUCGUAGAUAUGGGGAGGAACACCGGUGGCGAAGGCGGCCACCUGGACGGUAACUGACGCUGAGACGCGAAAGCGUGGGUAGCAAACAGG
This 253-nucleotide ribosomal RNA is filed under the name uncultured bacterium. Its description in RNAcentral is "partial 16S ribosomal RNA". It matches the Rfam family "Bacterial small subunit ribosomal RNA", at positions 524 to 776 of the family's 1533-position model. The record is from RNAcentral.